AGAAUCAACGCUGGCGGCGUGCCUAACACAUGCAAGUCGCACGAGAAAGGAGAGCAAUCUCUGAGUAAAGUGGCGCACGGGUGAGUAACACGUGAAUUAUCUACCUCCGAGUGGGGAAUAACCUAGAGAAAUCUGGGCUAAUACCGCAUAACACUUACGAGUCAAAGCAGCAAUGUGCUUGGAGAGGAGUUCGCGGCCGAUUAGCUAGUUGGCGGGGUAAUGGCCCACCAAGGCGAUGAUCGGUAUCCGGCCUGAGAGGGCGCACGGACACACUGGAACUGAAACACGGUCCAGACUCCUACGGGAGGCAGCAGUGGGGAAUUUUGCGCAAUGGGGGAAACCCUGACGCAGCAACGCCGCGUGGAGGAUGAAGUAUCUUGGUACGUAAACUCCUUUCGAUGGGGAAGAUAAUGACGGUACCCAUAGAAGAAGCCCGGCUAACUUCGUGCCAGCAGCCGC
RNAcentral lists this ribosomal RNA (459 nucleotides) under uncultured bacterium. Its description in RNAcentral is "SSU rRNA". It matches the Rfam family "Bacterial small subunit ribosomal RNA", at positions 26 to 518 of the family's 1533-position model. The record is from RNAcentral.